Molecule: ribosomal RNA, 253 nt
Filed under: uncultured bacterium
Lineage: Bacteria
Description: partial 16S ribosomal RNA
Rfam family: Bacterial small subunit ribosomal RNA
Source: RNAcentral
UACGGGGGGGGCAAGCGUUGUUCGGAAUUACUGGGCGUAAAGGGCUCGUAGGCGGCCGCCUAAGUCAGACGUGAAAUCCCUCGGCUCAACCGGGGAACUGCGUCUGAUACUGGGUGGCUUGAAUCCGGGAGAGGGAUGCGGAAUUCCAGGUGUAGCGGUGAAAUGCGUAGAUAUCUGGAGGAACGCCGGUGGCGAAAGCGACGCACUGGACCUCUUCUGACGCUGAGGCGCGAAAGCCAGGGGAGCAAACGGG